RNAcentral lists this ribosomal RNA (465 nucleotides) under Vreelandella stevensii. RNAcentral's name for it is "partial 16S ribosomal RNA". It matches the Rfam family "Bacterial small subunit ribosomal RNA", at positions 338 to 795 of the family's 1533-position model. The record is from RNAcentral. Lineage: Bacteria; Pseudomonadati; Pseudomonadota; Gammaproteobacteria; Oceanospirillales; Halomonadaceae.
CCUACGGGGGGCUGCAGUGGGGAAUAUUGGACAAUGGGGGGAACCCCGAUCCAGCCAUGCCGCGUGUGUGAAGAAGGCCCUCGGGUUGUAAAGCACUUUCAGUGAGGAAGAACGCCUGGUGGUUAAUACCCAUCAGGAAAGACAUCACUCACAGAAGAAGCACCGGCUAACUCCGUGCCAGCAGCCGCGGUAAUACGGAGGGUGCGAGCGUUAAUCGGAAUUACUGGGCGUAAAGCGCGCGUAGGUGGCUUGAUAAGCCGGUUGUGAAAGCCCCGGGCUCAACCUGGGAACGGCAUCCGGAACUGUCAAGCUAGAGUGCAGGAGAGGAAGGUAGAAUUCCCGGUGUAGCGGUGAAAUGCGUAGAGAUCGGGAGGAAUACCAGUGGCGAAGGCGGCCUUCUGGACUGACACUGACACUGAGGUGCGAAAGCGUGGGUAGCAAACAGGAUUAGAUACCCGGGUAGUC